UACGUAGGGGGCUAGCGUUGUCCGGAUUUAUUGGGCGUAAAGAGCGUGUAGGCGGCCAGGUAGGUCUGCUGUGAAAACUCGAGGCUCAACCUCGAGACGUCGGCGGAAACCAUCUGGCUAGAGUCCGGAAGAGGAGAGUGGAAUUCCUGGUGUAGCGGUGAAAUGCGCAGAUAUCAGGAAGAACACCCGUGGCGAAAGCGGCUCUCUGGAACGGUACUGACGCUGAGACGCGAAAGCGUGGGGAGCAAACAGG
Molecule: ribosomal RNA, 253 nt
Filed under: uncultured bacterium
Lineage: Bacteria
Description: partial 16S ribosomal RNA
Rfam family: Bacterial small subunit ribosomal RNA
Source: RNAcentral